ACAAGGGGUGACCGGUUGAAUAAUAACCAGUCCCGUUGCUCACCGUCACUCUGCAUCGGGGAACUGAUUAUAAAAUUAUAAAACUGAUUAUAAAAUCACACUUCGGGGCCGUGUCCGGGAUCGCUGCAGAUCCAGGGUCACUGCCGAGGGAUUUGUCCAUUUAACAUCAUUAUAUCGGCCAGGCUGCCGAAUGCACCGUCCUCAGCAAAGGGGGCAAAAGGAUUCUCUCCCGGGACCAUCCCCCCCACCCCGGGACACCGGUGUCCCAGACUGAGCCCCGGACCCCGGGCUCUUCCUGUCCGGGUAAUUCCCCGGGGAGUCACGUGGGGAGUCUCCUCCACGCACUUCCGGCGGAUGCUGCCCCGCCGGACAACAGGCGGAAACACGUCACUGCGGGACCGCUGCGAGCGACGCAGACAGCGCGAGGCCCGAGCCGGUUCCGUUAAAACCGUUGGGAAUCAGCCCCGGCGCGCGGCCGUUAAAGAAAAGUGUUCCUGACGUGAGACAGUCGGAAAGGGCAGGUGUGAAGGGGAGAAGUCAAACAGUGAGGAAGAUUUGAGAAUCGGGAAAUGUCGAUGGGAGAUGGAGGAAGAGACAUCACCUAAGUUUGCACUUUAUCCCGUUGUGAUGCGGUUUGAACGGCAUCGUCUGGAUGAAAGGUCAAACUAUUGAUGUUUGUGGUCAUAAGAUAUCAGCUUUGUGCGUGAUCUUUCACAUCCAAUCAAUCGCAGAGUAUUUCGAGGAAGUUACCAGGAACGUUGAUGAAGGCAAGGUUGUGGAUAUUGUCUACAUGGACUUCAGCACGGUAUUUGACAAGGUCCCGUAUAGGAGGUUGGUCUAGAAGAUUCAGUUGCUUAGCAUUCAAGCUGCGUGGAUCAGCCAUUGCUCUGAGAUGGAACUUUUCACACGGACUGAGAAAAGCACAACACCAUAGAUGCGUCCUCUUUUGUAAAAUGCAUCCAUGAAUAUUUUAGGAUUAAGACAGACAAGAGAAAAAAAACAUGCUAUUGAUUUUAAUUACUAAUUAAAGGAUAGGAUAAAAAUGUAGUACAACAAAGAAAAACUCAGGUUUCAUAAACGUUUAUACGACAGUGUUUAAUUCCAUCUGCGCUGCAACAAAGGCUCCGUUCGUGGGAGCAUUGUGGUUACGCAGACGCGCAGUUUAGAGGGAACAGUGACGGGUCUCUCUCUCCAGAUAUUCCCCACCUUAUAACACUGCCUUGCCAGCGACAACCUGUUGUUACAAACAUGCAGAUCAUCAACAAUCAGGCCCAGAUCUCAUCCGUGUGCAUAUUCGAGAUGGGUGAGGGUUUGCUUAAAUGGGAAAUGUUUUAAAUGGCCUCUUUGUUAGGUACAACUCUAUUCCAGCUCAUUAAUACGAAUCUGUUAAUCAUCUGCUUGCAACUCAAAGCACAAGCACAUGCAGAUAUGGUCAACGGGUUCAGUUGUUAUUCAGGCCAAACAUCUGAAUAGGAAAUAAAUGUGAGGUAAGUGACGUUGACCGUGGAAUGAUCGUUGGUGCCAGACCGGGUGGUAUGAGGGUUACGGAAACUGAUCAGCAGCUUGGAUUCUCAAGUAUAAAUCUCUCGGUUUACUGAGAAUGGUCCGGAAUCAAACCAAAGGAAAAUCCAGUGAACAGCGGUUCUAAAGGCCCCGUUAAUGAGAGAACUCAGUGAGAUUGGGCAGACUGAUUAAAUCCGACAGGAAAGCGGCAAGAACUCAAAUAACCACGCACUCCAACAGCGGAGAGCAAGAGAGCGUCACUGAGCACCGAACAUAGAGACCCAACACUGUCUCCUCCCGUACUUCAAAAUACCCUAUACUCCGUGCAGAUGGACUUUAAACACCCUCCACAUGUCAGAUGUGGACUUGCCAGUGUUACGAAGGAUGAACAGCUCUGAUGGGCAGAAGGGUGCAGAGUUGCCCAUCUCCCCCCCCCCGCCUUUUGGAGAAUCACAAACCGUUACUGUUGCUAUGCUGUUAAUGAGAGAGAGAGAUGUAAGAGAAAACAUGCUGGAAUUGGAACAUCUGCUACAGAUAAGAGACAGAGAUAAAGCAGGGGAGUGAGACUUGUUGAUCCACCAUAUUCUGACUUCUGAAAGUCGUAUGGCUUCUGAGAGGGUUGUUCACCUUGUACCAUUCUGUUCAUUAAAAUUCCUCAGUGGACAGCUGGAGUGGGCUGGUUUGAUGGACACAGUCAUUCAAAAUUGAUGUACAACUGAAACCCCCUGAGAAGGGAUAAAAG
Long non-coding RNA from Hypanus sabinus (Atlantic stingray), 2245 nucleotides. RefSeq lists it as uncharacterized. The record is from RefSeq and is a predicted model, not a curated record. NCBI's taxonomy places the organism in Eukaryota, Metazoa, Chordata, Chondrichthyes, Myliobatiformes, Dasyatidae. The transcript is spliced from 5 exons.